This 253-nucleotide ribosomal RNA is filed under the name uncultured bacterium. RNAcentral describes it as "partial 16S ribosomal RNA". It matches the Rfam family "Bacterial small subunit ribosomal RNA", at positions 524 to 776 of the family's 1533-position model. The record is from RNAcentral.
AACGGGGGGGCCUAGAAGUGUUCGGAAUUACUGGGCGUAAAGCGCCCGUAGGCGGAUUGUUAAGUCGGGGGUGAAAUCCCGGGGCUCAACCCCGGAAUGGCCACCGAUACUGGCAAUCUUGAGGUCGGGAGAGGUGAGUGGAAUGGCGAGUGUAGAGGUGAAAUUCGUAGAUAUUCGCCGGAACACCAGUGGCGAAGGCGGCUCACUGGCCCGAUACUGACGCUGAGGUGCGACAGCGUGGGGAGCAAACAGG